Molecule: non-coding RNA, 1341 nt
Organism: Arachis ipaensis
Lineage: Eukaryota; Viridiplantae; Streptophyta; Magnoliopsida; Fabales; Fabaceae
Source: RefSeq, a predicted model, not a curated record
ACUACUCAGUAAAGGACAAUUGACAGCAUCACACACUGGACUCUCCUCAACUUCAAAGGAAUAUGGACCAUGACCUGAUUGAUGAGAUGUUGAGUGUCCCUUGUGGUGGUGAAGCUCUCUGUCUGUAAUGAUCUGAAACCAAUGGCUGACUCGACGAGUCAAAGAGAUUUCGGCGAUUCGAAUUUUUGUGUGGUUUUCCAGAGUCAAUUUCAAGAAUCCCUGCGCUUCUUUCAUCAUCCAUGUUACAAGUCUUUGUCCAUGAUCUUCUUUGAGUCCACAUCGUUCUAUCUCUCGAUUGCCAAUGGGGACAUGGGAUCUAGAACCAUUUCUCUACAAUAAUGACAUGAAUGCUCUGAGGAGUUAAAUCGCUAAAUUUGUUGCCGGAAGAGUAAAACUAUAAAAAAAGACAAAAGGAAAAGAAUACGGAGUGAUGGUGACACCAUCACAAAAACGGAUAAAUCAAACCGUAACCCAGCCAAAACUCAGAACCAGAACCCUUUCUCCUUAUCUCCUCUCACCUCUCUCUCACUGCUCGGCCUUCCAGCGGCAUGUUGUUUCCCUAACUUUAUCUCCGCUGCGUGCUCCCCUGCCUCGCGUCAUCUCCUCCCUUGACGCUUUCCCGACAUGUCUGGUAUUUUCUAGCGGCACUGCUUCCUCUAUCCUUUGGCAGCAAAGAAACUUCUUAAAAAUUUGUAAGGAUACUUUAUUUGAUUUGCUUCUUUCAACCUUUCUCUCAUUAUAGCACUAGACAGUAGUUGACAUUGUUUGUCGACGAUAAUUCUUUCAAUCUUGUUAUUAAAGCUUGGUUGUUGUUGUGUGAUUGAAAUAUGAAAUUACUUAAUAGAAGAUAAGGAGAGAAAUAAUUCACAAUUGAAGUGGAGGCUAUAGGUCAUGUUAGACAUAAACAUAUUGUGCGUAUUGCAUAGAGGGGGUUAACAGGUACUUCUUUUUAGCAAAGCAAUAAAUUAUUUUAAGUUAUUAUAUGUGCUCUCACAACUCCUAAAUACAUAGUAUCUCUUUCUUUGUAUUAUCAAUAGCAUUUUUGUUUUAGUGUUUGUUUCAAUAUUCAGGCUGCUAGUGGAUGAAUAUGUGAAUAAUGGUAAUUUAGAGUAAUGCAUGCAUGUUGCCAUGGAACAAGGACACUUACCUAGGAGAUCCGCAUGAAAGUUGUACUCGACAGUUAUCUAGUACUCCUGUGAAAAUGUUAGAGAGCUAAUAAUGAUGUAUUUUGAUACUUGAUUUUGUAAUAGUUUAAAUUCCUUUAAUUCAGGAUAUUUGCUUUUCAACACUAUUACUUAAAUUUCAUAUUUUUAUUAUUAAAAAUAUUACUUAUAUGGAUGA